RNAcentral lists this ribosomal RNA (242 nucleotides) under uncultured bacterium. RNAcentral describes it as "partial 16S ribosomal RNA". It matches the Rfam family "Bacterial small subunit ribosomal RNA", at positions 92 to 334 of the family's 1533-position model. The record is from RNAcentral.
CGACCGGCGCACGGGUGAGUAACGCGUAUCCAACCUGCCUUACACUCUUGGACAGCCUUCUGAAAGGGAGAUUAAUACAAGAUGUUAUCAUGAGUAAGCAUUUUCACAUGAUUAAAGGUUUACCGGUGUAAGAUGGGGAUGCGUUCCAUUAGAUAGUAGGCGGGGUAACGGCCCACCUAGUCUUCGAUGGAUAGGGGUCCUGAGAGGAAGGUCCCCCACAUUGGAACUGAGACACGGUCCAA